Molecule: non-coding RNA, 1991 nt
Organism: Nicotiana tabacum (common tobacco)
Lineage: Eukaryota; Viridiplantae; Streptophyta; Magnoliopsida; Solanales; Solanaceae
Source: RefSeq, a predicted model, not a curated record
UAUGGAACGUGGAUUUUGAAGAGGAGAACGGGGACAUUGGAAUUUAUCUGUUUCAACCUCACCAUUCCAAAAUAUCUGGAAUUUCAAUUGAGCCAUUCUCCAUGUUGAAGAUAUUUACUUCAAGUUAUGAUCAACAUAUUAUGUUGCUGGAUGUUGAAAAGGAGGCUUUGAAAGAGAUGAUCCUAAUAUUGUAGUUACAAGCUUGGUAGCUAGGACUUUCUCUGUGUGGGACUUGAGGAGUAUUAGCAGAGAUCAACCAAAAUCAUUGACAACUAUUAGACAUGGCGGUCCAAUUCAUUCCGCGUGCUUUACACCUUUUGGGAGUUUUCUUGCAACAACAAGGUUUGUGCUACUAGUGAAGCCCCUUUGAUUCCUAAUUUCCUACAUACAGAAAAUGCUUUAAGAAUUUGACAGAAAAGAGGGAAUAAAAACUGCUUAUUUAGGAAAUAAAAAUAAAAUGUUCAACUUCACUAGUAUGUCAUAUGAAAUUUGAUAAUUCAGUGAAUUUAGAUAUCAAAAUUACUUCAAAUCGUAGAAGUAUUUUCAAAACAAAUAUUUGAUAGUGAAAUGCUUCAAAAGAAUAUUGUUAAUGCUUUUAGAAAGUGUAUAUAUAUAUAUAUUCUUGUGAAGAUGUUUUUGUAGGAAAUUUUAAGAGGAAAAGGUCUUCAUAGUAAAAGCAUCAAACCACUCUUUAUCAGUUUUGUUCUUCUGCUUACUUUUCUUGAGAAAACUGCCUGUUUUGAUUCUAUCAACUGUUUGGUAUCUCCUUGAUCAGUAGUUACGUUGGUAAUUUCAAGUUUAACACAGCUUGGAAAAUACUAUUGGUCUAUUUGGAGGAGAAAACUAUGAGGAGAAGUUCCUGAUACCCGACAAGAACCUAAAUGGUGAAUAUAUUUCAACAUUAAGAGGAAUCUGGGGCUGGGAUGACUCAUACGGGUACAUUGGCAAGAUUCAGGAAAAGCAGAAGCAUAAAAGAAAAAGGAAAGCUCAAAAAAUUAGUGGUGAUUGAUGACAAUAUUAAUAACAUUGAAAAGAAGAUUGAUGAUGACAAAAAUGGAGUCGAUAUCAUUUCUACGGUUGAGAAGAAGGUUGUGUGUACUUUGUAAAGUGAUGAUAUGCCUACUGUUCCGUAGUGUUUGGCUGCUCAUCCUUAUAUGGUUGGAACACUUGCUGGUGCCACAGGCAAAGGUAAAGUAUGUAUGUGGGUAGAAGCAGUUGCGGAUCCAGAAUCUUUAGUUUAUAGGUUCUGAAUUCUAAAAAAAAGUGGUUUACUGGAUAAACAAUUUAUACAUAUUCUUUGAGUUUCUUAGCACAAACACAGGAUUUUGGUCAAAACUAUUUGGUUCGCCGAAACCGCUUCUCGAUAGAAGCUUGACACUUUGACUAUGUUUUCUUAACGACAAUGUAUUUGUUUCUAUUUUGAGAUAUGCUCCGGUGAAGUAGCGGUUGACAUGCAUAGUGUAAAUAUCUAAUUGUUUUCAUCUUUUUAGUUUUUUAGUGGAGAAUGAGUAAAUUUUCAUUAAGCACUUUUAUAAAUUAAAAGAAAAUUGUUAAUGUUUGAUACUAGUUAAUUGCUUUGAUAAGUAAUAUACGUUAAUUAUAAGAAGCUGGAGUAUAGACGUCUAGUUGCAUAUCUUAGAUUGUACUCGGUAAAAGAACAUUUGACUACAUUCUCUCCAUAAAAUACAGUUUUAUAAGAAAGUGAUUUUACCUUAUAUUUUUCUUUUUUUUAUUUGUCCUUUUUAUUGACACUACAAGACAGACACCGAUGGAGCAUAUUUCUUAAAAAUUGCAUUGAUGGAGCAUGGUUCUAAACCUUUGGGAUCGUUCGGUUCGAACAUAAGUUAUGCAUGAAUUAGUUAGGCAAGAAUCAGUUAUACAUGAAUUAGUUAUGUAGGGAUUAGUUACGUAAGUAUUAGUUACGUAGGGAUUAAUAAUACAUGGAUUACAAUGUAAAUAUUAUUUCUUGUUAAACGUUUGGUUUGUGAGUA